Molecule: long non-coding RNA, 890 nt
Organism: Diachasma alloeum
Lineage: Eukaryota; Metazoa; Arthropoda; Insecta; Hymenoptera; Braconidae
Exons: 2
Source: RefSeq, a predicted model, not a curated record
CAAGACGUCGAACUGUUCGAUAAAUAUCUCGCAGUUCGGUCACCAAGUGAGGAUUACAGAGAAACACGAAAGCCUAGAUUUCGGCAGAAAUGCAUAUGUGUAUAUGUUGAUAAAUAUACGGAGGACAAAAAAUACAUACCGCUGAAGGAACGAAAGAUCCUGGCGAAAAAAGGAAAAAAAAGGAGGAAGAGAAUAAACAAUUCGAGAUAUGUAAACUGCGAGAUCCUUGGAACACUCAUUUACAACUUCAUAUUCUUCAGGAUACUCUCCAGUGACAAGUCCCCACCGUUUUUCGUACAGUGCUCCGUGUGAUUUUUCAUUUCGACAAAAAGAUAAAAAAUUUGAAAAUAGUGGAAUCAGUCAUUACUGAAGUGGAGAGGACCUACCGGAUGAUGCAUGCGACCAGCUUUGAAGGAUCUCCCAUCAAGGAUUUAUAAGACAUCCACAACCUCUUCAGUGGGCCCCCAUCAUCCCAACCACAGUACGAACAAUUGGGAUCCCGAGGAGUGGGAGUAAGGUGCCACUCACCUCCCCGACGCGGCGAAAAAAACAAAAUUUUUUUUGAAAAACAUCUGUAAUUCAUUCGCAUUGUUUUGAAUUUAAAAAAAAUUUAUUUUUUGGGGAGUUCGGUGAGGGAUACAUGGGUUUUGUAACGUAUAACACUCGGAAUUCGUGUAGUAUAUCGAAUAAGAUUUAUUCACAGCAAUGUAACUUGGUUUACAUCAUGAGAGCUGGAACGAGAGUGUGACCUCCCGCGACAAAAGUAUUAGAUCAUCGAAUCGAGGAUGUCCGAAUUAUAAUGUCCGAAUAAUAAUGCGAAAUAAAUAUAUCAGUAGCUUCGCUACAUUCUAUUUGAGACUUAGUUUUCUUGAAUAAAAGAAUGUGAUCUA